CCAAUAGCGUAUAUUAAAGUUGUUGCAGUUAAAAAGCUCGUAGUUGAAUUUCGGGGUUAGCAGGUCGGUCGUGCCAUCGGUAUGAACUGGUCUCGCUGAUCCCUCCCUCUUGACGAACUGUGAUGGCAUUAAUUUGUUGUCGCAGGGAAUCAGGACUGUUACUUUGAAAAAAUUAGAGUGUUUAAAGCAGGCUUUCGCUUGAAUACAUUAGCAUGGAAUAAUGAAAUAGGACGUUUGAUCCUAUUUUGUUGGUUUCUAGGAUUGACGUAAUGAUUAAUAGGGAUAGUUGGGGGCAUUAGUAUUAAAUUGUCAGAGGUGAAAUUCUUGUAUUUAUUGAAGACUAACUACUGCGAAAGCAUUUGCCAAGGAUGUUUUCAUUAAUCAAGAACGAAAGUUAGGGGAUCGAAGACGGUCAGAUACCGUCGUAGUCUUAACCAUAAACUAUGCCGACUAGGGAUCGGAUGAUGUUAAUUUUUUAAUGACUCAUUCGGCGCCUUACG
RNAcentral lists this ribosomal RNA (500 nucleotides) under uncultured Glomeromycotina. RNAcentral describes it as "partial small subunit ribosomal RNA". It matches the Rfam family "Eukaryotic small subunit ribosomal RNA", at positions 591 to 1092 of the family's 1831-position model. The record is from RNAcentral. Lineage: Eukaryota; Fungi; Glomeromycota.